AUGAUUGAGAAAUGCUUAAAAAAUAAAAACAAAGCCAAAAAUCAAAUACAAAAAAACCUUUCCAUCCAUCCAGGUAAGAGAUGGGGCCAAGAUACAAGCCCAAGACCUCUGACUUGUCAAACUUGCUCUGCGCUGCAUGAUAAUCAUCUCCUCCCACCACCACUGCCACACGCACGCACGCACGCACACACGCACAUAUUCGAGCGCCAGCGAACACAAUCAUCCCCAAAUUCUGAACCUAUAACACUAUCGCUUCUCGGCCUUUUGGCUAAGAUCAAGUGAAGCUAUAACACUGUGCCCACUUCCAUUGAGCAAAAGUCCCCAAAACGCUCCCGGUCAUAACCUUCCUGUCCAAACCACAAACCACCCCCCCACCCCCACCCCCACCCCACAUCCCACAGGCCUGGAGCUUCAGAGGUGCCAAUUCCAUGGACCCAGAAUGGCCCCCAAGUCUACACCGUUAACCGGGGUAAUUUUGCAGGGCGUGUGUCCCAGACCUACAUCGGAGAGCUGCUAGACUAGCGUGACUCCUUGGGAAAGGGUGGGCAUGGGGUGAGCCACCCAGCCCUCCAUUCCCCUAGCCGCCCAAUGAAGACGCUACGAGGGCCUCAGAAGCUGGGGCCGUGCUGCCCUCUGGUGGUCAGAGUGGCGCUGCAGCCACCGGGCUUCCCAGAGGACAGUGACCCAAAGCGACCGCGCCAGUUCCUUCCAUCUUUGAUUCUCCCAAGACCUCUGCAGGACUUCUUUGUAAAUGGAACGUAGUGUUUCCCGAACUUCGACUCUUUGGGUAACAUCACCGCUUUGCCCAUCUCAUAUGACACUUGACCUAUUUUUUUUCUCUGAAUGUAUAUAAAAUAACUCAUUUAAAGAGAAACUUGGGAGUUCCCGUCGUGGCGCAGUGGUUAACGAAUCCGACUAGGAACCAUGAGGUCGCGGGUUCGGUCCCUGCCCUAGCUCAGUGGGUUAACGAUCCGGCGUUGCUAUGAGCUGUGGUGUAGGUUGCAGACGCGGCUCAGAUCCUGCAUUGCUGUGGCUCUGGCGUAGGCCGGUGGCUCCAGCUGCGAUUCGACCCCUAGCCUGGGAACCUCCAUAUGCCGCGGGAGCGGCCCAAGAAAUAGCAAAAAAGACAAUAAAUAAAUAAAUAAAUAAAGAUAAGCA
RNAcentral lists this long non-coding RNA (1158 nucleotides) under Sus scrofa (pig). RNAcentral's name for it is "lncRNA (ENSSSCG00015062201.1)". The record is from RNAcentral. Lineage: Eukaryota; Metazoa; Chordata; Mammalia; Artiodactyla; Suidae.